UACGUAAGGUCCGAGCGUUGUCCGGAAUCAUUGGGCGUAAAGGGUACGUAGGCGGAUAAGCAAGUUAGAAGUGAAAUCCUAUAGCUCAACUAUAGUAAGCUUUUAAAACUGCUAGACUUGAGAGAUUGAGGGGAAAGUGGAAUUCCUAGUGUAGCGGUGAAAUGCACAGAUAUUAGGAGGAAUACCAGUGGCGAAGGCGACUUUCUGGCAAUCAUCAGACGCUGAGGUACGAAAGCGUGGGUAGCAAACAGG
Molecule: ribosomal RNA, 252 nt
Filed under: uncultured bacterium
Lineage: Bacteria
Description: partial 16S ribosomal RNA
Rfam family: Bacterial small subunit ribosomal RNA
Source: RNAcentral